GGUUAGAGAACGACGAUUGUUGGAUAUUGUUGGAUUCAUAGAUGCAAAAACAAAAUCGAUUAAACAGUAAACAUAAGUUUUCAUUGCGUCCCGUUAAGGUGAGCAAACUUUGAAACGUGACAUCACGCAUCGUGCGACGGAAACGUGGCUGGAUAACAUCCACAGGAAACAAGCAGCUAGCGGUUAGCGAUGAUGUCUCUGUCCGAUUACACCAAGACAAAACCCCUGGAAGAUCGCCUUUCGCUCCUGGGGCCGACUCCACGAGGUACAACGACCUGCUGGGGAUGUCGAGGAGACGCUGAGCGAAGUGUUCCUGCGCCGUGUGGAGCUCUGCAAACAACCAUAAGAAAGCCACGGUAUAAAACAUUUAGACUCAAGGCUCCUCUGCUUCAGAUCAUAUGCCUGGCCUGCCGUGGUUAAAUCAGAUAGAUAACCUGUGCUCUUUCAAAGAGAGACAGUGAGCCUCAUCUCGCUAUGAGGAAGGUGGAGACAGAUGCCUCAUUAUCCAUGCCGCAGGGGACAAAACAGGCCCAGCGCUGGAGGACCCCCCCACUGGCGUUUAGUUUCCACAAGGCAGCCACAGAGCGACACGGACGGAGCUCAUCUCUGACCUCAGCAAGCGCAGGUCGCUCGCAGAGUCACAUUAAA
This is a long non-coding RNA of Poeciliopsis prolifica (blackstripe livebearer), 648 nucleotides long. RefSeq lists it as uncharacterized. NCBI's taxonomy places the organism in Eukaryota, Metazoa, Chordata, Actinopteri, Cyprinodontiformes, Poeciliidae. The transcript is spliced from 3 exons. The record is from RefSeq and is a predicted model, not a curated record.